This 358-nucleotide ribosomal RNA is filed under the name Brevibacillus sp. RNAcentral describes it as "bacterial SSU rRNA". It matches the Rfam family "Bacterial small subunit ribosomal RNA", at positions 412 to 762 of the family's 1533-position model. The record is from RNAcentral. Lineage: Bacteria; Bacillati; Bacillota; Bacilli; Caryophanales; Paenibacillaceae.
AGGUCUUCGGAUUGUAAAGUUCUGUUGUCAGGGACGAACACGUACCGUUCGAAUAGGGCGGUACCUUGACGGUACCUGACGAGAAAGCCACGGCUAACUACGUGCCAGCAGCCGCGGUAAUACGUAGGUGGCAAGCGUUGUCCGGAUUUAUUGGGCGUAAAGCGCGCGCAGGCGGCUAUGUAAGUCUGGUGUUAAAGCCCGGAGCUCAACUCCGGUUCGCAUCGGAAACUGUGUAGCUUGAGUGCAGAAGAGGAAAGCGGUAUUCCACGUGUAGCGGUGAAAUGCGUAGAGAUGUGGAGGAACACCAGUGGCGAAGGCGGCUUUCUGGUCUGUAACUGACGCUGAGGCGCGAAAGCGU